GUAAUGGCAGGUCAGCAUACUGCCGUGAAUACGUUCCCGGGCCUUGUACACACCGCCCGUCACACCAUGAGAGUUGGGGAUACCCGAAGCCUGUGAGCUAACAGUAAUGGAGCAGCAGUCGAAGGUAGAAUCAAUGAUUGGGGUGAAGUCGUAACAAGGUAAC
RNAcentral lists this ribosomal RNA (163 nucleotides) under uncultured bacterium. Its description in RNAcentral is "partial 16S ribosomal RNA". It matches the Rfam family "Bacterial small subunit ribosomal RNA", at positions 1338 to 1500 of the family's 1533-position model. The record is from RNAcentral.